This 468-nucleotide ribosomal RNA is filed under the name uncultured bacterium. RNAcentral's name for it is "partial 16S ribosomal RNA". It matches the Rfam family "Bacterial small subunit ribosomal RNA", at positions 28 to 507 of the family's 1533-position model. The record is from RNAcentral.
GACGAACGCUGGCGGCGUGCCUAACACAUGCAAGUCGAACGGAAAGGCCCUGCUCUUGUGGGGUGCUCGAGAGGCGAACGGGUGAGUAAAACGUGAGUAACACGCCCUUGACUUUGGGAUAACUUCAGGAAAAAGGGGCUAAUACCGGAUAGGAGAUCUUGAUGCAUGGUGGGGGAUGGAAAGAUUCGGCGGUUGGGGAUGGACUCGCGGCUUAUCAGCUUGUUGGUGGGGUAGGGGCUUACAAAGGCUUUGACGGGUAGCCGGCCUGAGCGGGGGACCGGCCACAUUAGGACUGAGAGAGGGCCCAGAAGGCUACGGGAGGCAGCAGGGGGAAAUAUUACACAGUGGGCGGGAGUCUGAUACGGCGACGUCGCGUUCGGGAAGACGUCCUUCGAGUGAAAAACCGCUUUCGCCUGAGACGAAGCGUGAUUGACGGUAAUGAGUAAAGAAGCACCGGCUAACUACGUG